UUCCGGUUGAUCCUGCCGGAAGCCAUUGCUAUUGGGAUUCGAUUUAGCCAUGCUAGUCGCACGAGUUCAGACUCGUGGCGAAUAGCUCAGUAACACGUGGCCAAACUACCCUUCGGGCCAGCAUACCCUCGGGAAACUGAGGCUAAUACUGGACACCACAGUCCACCUGGAAUGAGGACUGUGCCAAACGCUCCGGCGCCGAAGGAUGUGGCUGCGGCCGAUUAGGUAGACGGUGGGGUAACGGCCCACCGUGCCAAUAAUCGGUACGGGUCAUGAGAGUGAGAACCCGGAGACGGAAUCUGAGACAAGAUUCCGGGCCCUACGGGGCGCAGCAGGCGCGAAACCUUUACACUGCACGACAGUGCGAUAAGGGAAUCCCAAGUGCACAGGCAUAGAGCCUGUGCUUUUGUACACCCUAGGGCGGUGUACGAAUAAGGGCUGGGCAAGACCGGUGCCAGCCGCCGCGGUAAUACCGGCAGCCCAAGUGAUGGCCGAUCUUAUUGGGCCUAAAGCGUCCGUAGCUGGCCGCACAAGUCCAUCGGAA
Molecule: ribosomal RNA, 544 nt
Filed under: uncultured haloarchaeon
Lineage: Archaea; Methanobacteriati; Methanobacteriota; Halobacteria; Halobacteriales; Halobacteriaceae
Description: bacterial SSU rRNA
Rfam family: Archaeal small subunit ribosomal RNA
Source: RNAcentral